UUUGUGCUAUAUUACGGA
This 18-nucleotide non-coding RNA is filed under the name Arabidopsis thaliana (thale cress). The record is from RNAcentral. Lineage: Eukaryota; Viridiplantae; Streptophyta; Magnoliopsida; Brassicales; Brassicaceae.